GAGUUUGAUCCUGGCUCAGAAUCAACGCUGGCGGCGUGCCUCAGACAUGCAAGUCGAACGCGAAAGUCCCUUCGGGGAGCGAGUAGAGUGGCGUCCGGGUGAGUAACACGUAGGUAAUCUACCUUUGGGUGGGGAAUAACAACCGGAAACGGUUGCUAAUACCGCAUAAUGCAGCGGCACCACAUGGUGACAGUUGUUAAAGCGGGGGAUCGCAAGACCUCGCGCCAAAAGAGGAGCCUGCGGCGGAUUAGCUAGUUGGUAGGGUAAUGGCCUACCAAGGCAACGAUCCGUAGCCGGCCUGAGAGGGCGGUCGGCCACACUGACACUGAAAUACGGGUCAGACUCCUACGGGAGGCAGCAGUAGGGAAUAUUGGUCAAUGGAUGCAAGUCUGAACCAGCCAUGCCGCGUGCAGGAAGAAGGCCUUCUGGGUUGUAAACUGCUUUUGUCAGGGGAUAAAAUUUCCUUGCGAGGAACAUUGAAGGUACCUGGCGAAUAAGCCACGGCUAACUACGUGCCAGCAGCCGCGGUAAUACGUAGGUGGCAAGCGUUGUCCGGAUUUAUUGGGUUUAAAGGGUGCGUAGGCGGUUCUGUAAGUCAGUGGUGAAAUACUCCAGCUUAACUGGAGGGGUGCCAAUGAUACUGCAGAACUUGAGUACAGAUGAGGUAGGCGGAAUUGACGGUGUAGCGGUGAAAUGCAUAGAUAUCGUCAAGAACACCUAUAGCGAAGGCAGCUUACUGGGCUGUAACUGACGCUGAGGCACGAAAGUGUGGGGAUCAAACAGGAUUAGAUACCCUGGUAGUCCACACUGUAAACGUUGAUUACUCGCUGUUUGCGAUACACAGCAAGCGGCUUAGCGAAACCGAUAAGUAAUCCACCUGGGGAGUACGCCGGCAACGGUGAAACUCAAAGGAAUUGACGGGGGUCCGCACAAGCGGUGGGGCAUGUGGUUUAAUUCGAUGAUACGCGAGGAACCUUACCUGGACUAGAAUGCCCUUGACCGAUCCAGAGAUGGGUAAUUCAGCAAUGACAAGGAGCAAGGUGCUGCAUGGCUGUCGUCAGCUCGUGCCGUGAGGUGUUGGGUUAAGUCCCGCAACGAGCGCAACCCCUAUUUUUAGUUGCCAGCACGUAAUGGUGGGGACUCUAAAAAGACUGCCUGCGCAAGCAGAGAGGAAGGAGGGGACGACGUCAAGUCAUCAUGGCCCUUACGUCCAGGGCUACACACGUGCUACAAUGGCAUAUACAAAGUGUUGCAAACCAGUGAUGGUAAGCCAAUCACAGAAAGUAUGUCUCAGUUCGGAUUGCAGGCUGCAGCUCGCCUGCAUGAAGUUGGAAUCGCUAGUAAUCGCAAAUCAGCAAUGUUGCGGUGAAUACGUUCCCGGACCUUGCACACAC
RNAcentral lists this ribosomal RNA (1394 nucleotides) under uncultured bacterium. Its description in RNAcentral is "bacterial SSU rRNA". It matches the Rfam family "Bacterial small subunit ribosomal RNA". The record is from RNAcentral.